This 2028-nucleotide small RNA is filed under the name Pan troglodytes (chimpanzee). RNAcentral describes it as "retained intron". Lineage: Eukaryota; Metazoa; Chordata; Mammalia; Primates; Hominidae. The record is from RNAcentral.
UUCCUUGUUCACCAUCCCUCUUCUCCAAUACUAAUUCAUUUCUUUGUCUACCUUACUCUCCAAGGGGGCCAUAUUUGGCUACCCCAGGCCACUUCUCUGAAUUCUAGAUUGGGAAUCUAGUUUUGAGAACUGUCCUCCUAAUAAAUAAAUACCUAUUUCAUUGAGUUUGUGUUCCUGCUACAACAGUUUCUUCUGUCAUGGGAAGUAAAUGAUACUUACACUUUCUAUUCACAUUUUUAGAUGGCAGGAUGGUGGCUGGCAAAGUGUUGAUGGCAAAGCAAGAAAUUGUUGAAUGUGUAGCCUCAGCAGCUAUGAUAUCGCUGGGAAAACUUCCUGGAGAAACACAUUCCCAACAGAUAGCUGAAGAAGCUUUGGGAGGUCUGGACAACUCUAAGAAGCAAAAGGGAAAUGCUGCAGGGAACAAAAUCAGUCAGCUUCCUUCCCAGGACAGACAUUUCAGUCUGGCAACCUUCAACAGAAGAAUCCCCACAGAACACAGUGUCCUUGAAUCUCAUGAGAGUGAAGGAAGUUUCAGUAUGAAUUCAAAUGAUAUUACACAACAGAGCGUUCACACUAGGGAAAAGCUCUAUGAGUGCUUUGACUGUGGGAAGGCCUUUUGCCAGAGCUCAAAGCUGAUUAGACAUCAGAGAAUUCAUACUGGAGAGAGACCUUAUGCAUGUAAAGAAUGUGGCAAAGCCUUCAGUUUGAGCUCAGACCUUGUUAGACAUCAGAGAAUUCAUAGUGGUGAAAAACCCUAUGAAUGUUGUGAAUGUGGAAAAGCCUUCAGGGGCAGUUCAGAGCUCAUCAGGCAUCGGAGAAUCCACACUGGAGAGAAGCCUUAUGAAUGUGGAGAAUGUGGGAAAGCCUUCAGCCGGAGCUCAGCCCUUAUUCAGCAUAAGAAAAUUCACACUGGAGAUAAAGGCUAUGAAUGUAUUGCAUGUGGUAAGGCUUUUGGUAGGAGUUCUAUCCUUAUUGAACAUCAAAGAAUUCACACUGGAGAGAAACCUUAUGAAUGUAAUGAAUGUGGAAAAUCCUUCAAUCAGAGCUCAGCCCUCACCCAGCACCAGAGAAUUCACACUGGAGAGAAGCCUUAUGAAUGUAGUGAAUGUAGAAAAACAUUUAGGCAUAGGUCAGGCCUUAUGCAGCAUCAGAGAACACACACCAGAGUUUAACUCUGUGGGUAAGAGUUGUACAAUUGUGAAAUGCAAGGAGUUCACUGUAGGGGUGAGACUCCACAGAAAAGAAAAGUUUCCUGAGAGCAGAACUUCUGUCCUUCCCGCCCAGUUCGGUACUAUAAGAAGACAUCCACACAAAGAUGUUUGUUAUGAUUAUUGAAGUGUUAAAUGGAAGAAAAAUGUUACCCAAGUCUUCUCCAAAAAGAAUGGUAGAUAUUUCCUUGAAAUGCCUAACCCAUUUCUGGAUGAGACUCAUCAAUAUCCCCUUCACUCCACUCUCUGCCAACUCAGAUAUAAUUUCCAUUGGGCACCUUCACAGUAAUGCCAGGAUUGGGGCAGAGAUCCUGAAAGAGCUUCUUAUAAGAUGGCAAAUGUGCCUGGCAAGAGCAUUUGUAUUUUGUCAGGUGGAGGCAUGUGCUGAGAGUUAUUCAACUAUCUGAAAUGUUGAAUUGGGAGGUUGUGAAAAUAUUGAAUUAUGCUAUUAGUUUAAUAAUAUCUGAGGCAGUAAAAUAGUACCUGAGGAAUGGUGCCUCAUUCUGCCCCCUUGCCAGUUGUCUCCUCAAUCCUGAGCUUCCUGCUGAGGUUAAUUCAAGUCUACUUGUUUAUUGAGCACCUGCUAUGUGCUAGGCAUUGAGGUAGACCUGGUCAUUGCCCUCCCAGAGUUAAGGGCUAAUAGGAUAUGCAUAUAUACUAAACAGUAAUUACAGUAAAGUGUGGUAAGUGCUUUGGUAGGAAAAAUGCGGGUUUCCAUCAAAGUACAUGGCAGGGAUAUCUAAAUCUGGUCUAUGAGUCACUAAAGACUUCCUGGAUAUGAUGGUAUCUCAGACGUAAAGGUGGGUAGAAGGUAGCAAGG